Molecule: ribosomal RNA, 253 nt
Filed under: uncultured bacterium
Lineage: Bacteria
Description: partial 16S ribosomal RNA
Rfam family: Bacterial small subunit ribosomal RNA
Source: RNAcentral
UACGUAGGGUGCGAGCGUUGUCCGGAAUUACUGGGCGUAAAGAGCUCGUAGGUGGUUUGUCGCGUUGUCCGUGAAAACUCACAACUCAAUUGUGGGCGUGCGGGCGAUACGGGCAGACUGGAGUACUGCAGGGGAGACUGGAAUUCCUGGUGUAGCGGUGGAAUGCGCAGAUAUCAGGAGGAACACCGGUGGCGAAGGCGGGUCUCUGGGCAGUAACUGACGCUGAGGAGCGAAAGCCAGGGGAGCGAACGGG